Bacillus sp. CHD6a is the source of this 343-nucleotide non-coding RNA. The record is from Rfam. NCBI's taxonomy places the organism in Bacteria, Bacillati, Bacillota, Bacilli, Caryophanales, Bacillaceae.
UACGGAUUCGACAGGGAUAGUUCGAGCUUGGGUUGCGAGUCGGGGGGAUCGUCCUCGUCAUCAACGUCAACGCCAAUAAUAACUGGCAAAGAAAACAACAACUUCGCAUUAGCUGCCUAAUAACAGUCUGAUGCGGUUCCUCCCUCCAUCGCCCAUGUGGUAGGAUCAGGGACUCACUCUUAGUGGGCUACGCCGGAGAUCGCCGUCUGAGGUCAAAGGAAGAGAAUAACCAGACUAGCUGCCAGGAUGCCAGUCAAUAGGCGGAACGGUUAGCGAAAUACUAAUAUAUUGACUACACUCGUAGAUGCUUAAGUGGCGAUGUUUCUGGACGUGGGUUCGAUUA